RNAcentral lists this long non-coding RNA (599 nucleotides) under Panax ginseng (ginseng). Its description in RNAcentral is "long non-coding RNA (PGIN_LNC001710)". Lineage: Eukaryota; Viridiplantae; Streptophyta; Magnoliopsida; Apiales; Araliaceae. The record is from RNAcentral.
GCGAUGGUUUUAAACUUGUCCAUCAACAACAAAUAUCCUAUGAUGGUUUUAAAUUUGUCCAUCAACAACGUUCUUCGUGUUCUUCGCAUGUUCUUCGUGUUCUUCGUUCGUUCUUCAUUUUAAUCGAUAUUUUGGAUUACGAUUUCACUUUUUAUUAGAAUUUGAUGUUAUAAAUCAUCAUUCCUUACUUAUUACACCUACUUAUUGAUAUAAUCCACUCGGAUCGUUCUAAUUCAUUACGCAUCUUAUACUUCCUUAAGAAAUUUAUUUACUAAACUUCAAAUUCUUAUUUUCAUUAUUUCUCAUGAUUUCAACCAUAUGAAAUCAUUCUUAACAUCAUCUACUUCUUAUCUUCAUUAAGUUAUGUUUUAAACAUAUAAAACUUUAAAGAAAAUCUAACAUAGAAGUUAGGUUUUAAUACCUUUCCUCUUUAUUUUUCUUCCGCUAGACAAAACUGGCGAUUUGCUAGCUUUUCCAUUUCACGAACAUUUUCGAUCCGAACAUUCAUGCUCAUGCUCUUCCUUCUCCUUCUCCAUCCGAAUUCUCUCUCUCUCUCUCUAGUGUAGGAUUUUUCAAAAUCUCAUUUAAAUGAAAUCUAG